Molecule: long non-coding RNA, 7778 nt
Filed under: Manihot esculenta (cassava)
Lineage: Eukaryota; Viridiplantae; Streptophyta; Magnoliopsida; Malpighiales; Euphorbiaceae
Description: long non-coding RNA (MESC_LNC009684)
Source: RNAcentral
GUGCAUGAGUUUCGUCUCUCGAGAGGACUUUCGGCCGCCGAACCUGCCGCCGAAAGUGUUCUGUCCAGCCUUCUCUUGCAUGCUUUGCAUGGAUGUUUGAGUGAGUUUAAGGGAAUUCUUGGGGAGUUUAAUAGAGUUGUUCCCCUCAUUUGAGUUUAUCUGUGCCUACACAGACCAGAGGAACCAGAGAGAGCAGCAGUGAGUACUGCUCCAGAGUCGAGCCUGCAGAGUCAGUCCAGAUAGCCAGAGGUGAAUGGAACUAAACUUAAUUCUUUUAAUUGAGAAAUGGAAUGUUUUUUAGCAUAUAUCAUGCAUCAUUGUUAUGCAGUAGGUUGAUUGCAUUAGAAUCCACGAAUAUGUUGCAUUGCAUAGUUAUUUGUUGAUGUGGGUGAAUGCUGAAUGAUACAAUAGUCUCUGAGAGAAGUCCAGGAGCCUUUGACUACGCCCUGGCAAAUAUAGAGAAGUCCAGGAGCCUUUGACUACGCCCUGGCAAGUAUAGUAAAGUCCAGGAGCCUUUGACUACGCCCUGGCAAUGGUAAGUCCAUAAGUGUUAUAUACACAUAUACAUAUAUAACAGGAAGACCAGGUGCUCGAUUCUACGCCCUGGCACGGCAGAGUUACCGGGACUAUGUGCUGACAGGUUUACCUUUGAUGUGGAUUGGCUGUGUUAUGAUGCAUUCCAUUAUAUCAUGUUUUAAUGAUAUGUUUUACUGUUCUACUCACUGGGCUAUAGAGCUCAUCCCACUCCCUUAACCCUAGUUUUGCAGGUUCAGUGUACAGUGUACAGGGAAAGUCCAGCAGAGUACAGGAAGAGAGAAGAGUUUUGUAAUAGAAUUUUGUGGACAUGUAAAUUUAAAGAGAUGUAACAGUUGUGUAUAAAGUUAGAAUUGUGCUUGACUUAGUUAUUUUUGUGUUGGAAAUCUGUUGUAUACAUGGUCUAUUAUUAUAUAACUGUUUUACAGAGUAUGUGAAAAACCAGGCUUAACAGGUAUGAAUCAACCCAGCUAGAGCAAGCUCUAAUCAGGGGUACAGAGUACAGAGAUAGUGCAUGCACAGGUUAAGCCUUGGUCCAGAGAAAAGUUUUUAUUUUCACAGAAAAUGUAUGAUCAUGUAUAAUUGUUUACAGGUAUUCAGAGAGUAUAGCAGGCUUGCUACGGGUUCUGGCGGCCUUAAGCCGAUCUGAAUCCUAGCGCCGGUGACGGUCCAUUUUGGGGUCAUUACAGAUUGGUAUCAGAGGCCUAGGUUCACAUGGUCGGACCUAUAGAGAGAGUGUCGGGCUCAUAGAGGCUAGAGGUAGUCAAGCACAAUAGGAAAUCAUGUCCACUAGGAUAGGGUGUUGAGUCCUAUCUGUUUCAUGUUAUGAAAUGCCAUGAGUUAUGUAUGUGCAUUAUUGAUAUGUGAUGUUUGUGUUAAAGUGCUAUAUUAUGUGUUGUUUUCCAGAGUUAAGAUGAGAGGAACUCGUCGAUCAGCUCGAUUGACUAGAGUCCCACCAGAUAGUGAGAGACCAGCUGCUCGUCCUCCUGCAUUGCCAAGGGCAAGGUCUCAGAGAUCUAGCAGGGAAGGUGCGUCAAUAGACCCUAGAAGGUCUGUAGACUAGAGCAGAAGAGGUACAGUAAGAGGAGAAAGAUCAGAAGAAGUGAGAGAGGCUAUGGAGAUUGAGCAGUCUAGAGAUGAAAGUAUGGGCAUGGGUAGAUCUGAAGAAGGUGUGGGAGAAUCCCAGGGAGGCGCUCAGGCCUCAGGUUUUGGCUAUCCAGCUUUUUCCCAAGAUCUAGAGUAUCCAAUGGAAGGUAUGUCGGAGUACUCUCGUUUUGUCCCAUAUCCUACAUACAUGCCAUAUAUGCCUUAUCCUCCUUAUUACCCACCAUAUCCGAUGUAUCCACCCUCCCCUAUCCAUCCAAGUGCAGCACACCCAGAGCCAAAUGAACCACCACCACCAGAACCAGUAGCUCUCGUAGUCCAAAUACAGCAGCCUAGCUCAUCUGGGGGGAAGUAAGGUGAAAAUGACAGAGUACUUGAAAUUGGAUGCGCCUAAAUACAACACGGGAGAUGAUUCAUUUGAAUACCUCAGAUCAGUUAGGAUGAUAACCAGUGAGUUGGGAGCUGAUGAUAGUAGGGCCAUUGAGAUGGCGGGGUUCACAUUAAAAUGCAAGAAGGCCAGAGAAUGGUUCAAGAAUUAUGUGGAACCCAGGAUGAACAGUAUGUUAUGGGGAGAGUUCGCCAAUGAAUUUGCAGGGUGGGCUUUUCCUGACAGUUCCAGGGAGAUGAAAGUAAUAGAGUUCGAACAGUUGCGACAAAUAGAUGAGAUGAGUGUUGAUGAAUUCACAGAUAAGUUCCUGGAUUUGCUUCAGUAUGUGGAUCAAGCCUAUGAGACUGAUCAGAAGAAGGCAAGGAGAUAUACUAUGAGACUGCAUCCCAGGUAUUCUUCCUUGAUUCUUCCAGCAGAGAAGGAGAGUUUCCACUCUAUAGUAGAUGCAGCCAGGAAAAUGGAAGCUAGUGCCAAUAUUCGAAAACAGUCAAAGGCACAGGCUUCGGGUUCUAAGGCCCCCAGUUCAGCAACCUCAGGCAGCAAGAGAUGGGAUAGAGCAAAAGGGUUAAAGAAUAAGUUCUGGAAUAAAGCCAAGUCUAAUCUGGGAAUAGGUAGUGGUUCAAGCUCUGGCACAGCUUAUCCAGUAUGCAGAAGAUGCGGAAGACCACAUGGAGGAGCUUGUCGGUUGGGAUCUACAGCUUGUUAUAGAUGUGGACAGGAAGGGCAUAUUGCUCGGGAUUGUCCUCAGAUGACUUUUGUGGCACCAUCCUAGCAUAUGAGUUCAGGCAGUGUGGUACAGCCAGUCGUACAGCCAGCAGCUCCAGUCAUGCCUCAGAGUAGUGGCAGAGGUAGAGGGAGAGGGGCAGCCUCUACUUCAGCAGCAGGUUCCCGAGAUAGAAAUCCGGUAGCCCCAGCACGGAUUUUCACUGUGACACAGGAGGAGGCGAACACGUCGAACACAGUGGUGUCAGGUAAUCUCAUCAUUGGGUGUUCAGAUGUGUAUGCUUUGAUGGACCCCGAUGCUUCUCAUUCCUUUAUUGCUUCGAGAGCCAUAGAGAGAUUGGGUUUGAUCAGUUUUGAGUUAGAGUAUCCUCUCUGGGUCAGUGGACCCAAGUGUGACCCAUCAGUGGCAGUGUCAGUCUGUCGUUUCAGUCCAGUGUUCAUAGAGGGUAGAUGCCUUCCAGCUGACCUUGUGGUUCUAGACUUGACAGAUUUUGAUGUCAUUCUAGGGAUGGAUUGGCUAUCUGCAUAUAGUGCUACUUUGGACUGUAGAGAGAAGAUAGUUAGCCUCAGAGACCAGGAUGGGUCAGAGUGUGUCUUCAGAGGAGACAGGAGAGGUACACCCAGAGGUUUGAUUUCAGCCCUUCAGGCUCGUCGUUUGCUUAGGAGGGGUUGUCAGGGGUUUCUAGCUCAUGUGAGAGAGCUAGACAGAUAGGUUAGGGAACCAGUUUCGCUACCAGUAGUCCGAGAGUUUCCAGAUGUUUUCCCAGAUGAACUUCCAGGACUACCGCCUGGUAGGGAGAUAGAGUUUGAGAUAGAAUUGCUGCCUGGUACCAGACCUAUUUCUAUUCCUCCCUACAGGAUGGCACCAGCAGAGUUAAAAGAGUUAAAAGAGCAGUUGCAGGAAUUGGUAGAGAAGGGUUUCAUCCGCCCUAGUACCUCACCUUGGGGUGCUCCAGUGCUCUUUGUCAGAAAGAAGGAUGGAUCCCUCAGACUUUGUAUCGACUACAGACAGUUGAACAAGGUCACUACCAAGAAUAGGUAUCCUCUACCCAGGAUUGAUGAUCUAUUUGACCAGCUAGCUGGAGCAGGUUGUUUCUCUAAAAUAGAUCUGAGAUCCGGGUAUCAUCAGUUGAGAGUCAGAGAAGCCGAUGUGCCAAAGACAGCUUUCAGGACCAGAUAUGGGCAUUAUAAGUUCUUAGUGAUGCCGUUCGGGUUGACUAACGCCCCUGCAGCAUUCAUGGAUCUCAUGAACAGAGUUUUCAGCGAGUAUCUGGAUCACUUUGUUAUUGUUUUCAUUGAUGAUAUCUUAGUGUAUUCUAGAGAUGCAGAGGAGCAUGUCCAGCAUCUGAGGAUAGUUCUGCAGACACUGAGAGAGCAUGGUUUGUAUGCCAAGUUCUCUAAGUGUGAGUUUUGGUUAAGGAGCAUUUCCUUCUUGGGACAUGUAGUAUCAGCAGAAGGGAUUGAGGUAAUCCUAAGAAGAUAGAGACUGUAGCUAACUGGCCCAGACCCACUACAGUGACUGAGAUUAAAAGCUUUCUGGGACUGGCCGGUUACUACAGGAGGUUCGUUCAGGACUUCUCAAAGAUAGCAGCUCCUAUGACCAAACUGACUCAGAAGAACCAGAAGUUUGUCUGGUCAGACCAGUGCGAGGAGAGCUUUGAGGUGCUCAAGAGGAGAUUGACAACAGCACCAGUGUUAGCUCUACCUGUCAGUAAUGAUGAUUUCACAGUGUACUGUGAUGCGUCUCGAGUGGGAUUGGGUUGUGUUUUGAUGCAGCAGGAUAGGGUGAUUGCAUAUGCUUCUAGACAGUUGAAGAAGCACGAGUUGAAUUACCCCACCCAUGACCUAGAGAUGGCAGCAGUUAUUUUUGCACUCAAGAUGUGGCGGCAUUACCUCUAUGGGGUUAAAUGCGAGAUCUUCACCGAUCAUAAGAUCAUAAGAGUUUACAGUACAUCUUGAGUCAGAGAACUGAAUUUGAGGCAGAGAAGAUGGGUAGAAUUGCUCAGUGAUUAUGAUUGUAAAAUCCAGUAUCAUCCGGGUAAGGCGAAUGUUGUGGCAGACGCCCUAAGCCGGAAGUCACUAGGCAGUUUAUCCCAUAUAGCAGCAGAGCGGAGACCAGUCGUGAUGGAGCUUUACAAGCUCUUAGAAGAGGGGUUACAACUAGAGUUGUCUGGUACAGGUGCGUUGAUAGCACAGAUGAGAGUGAUACCUGUGUUUCUGGAGCAGAUAGCUCAUAAACAGCACGAGGACCUAGAGUUGAUGAAAAUUGCCAGGACUGUGCAGUCAGGCAACAGUGCAGAGUUCAGAUUUGACAGCAAAGGGAUCCUCCGUUAUGGGAGUCGACUUUGUGUACCAGAUAGGAGCAGUGUGAAGGAAGACAUUAUGAGGGAAGCUCAUAAUGCGAGGUAUAGUGUUCACCCAGGAGCCACCAAGAUGUACCAGGAUCUGAAAAGGGUCUAUUGGUGGCGAGCCAUGAAGAAAGAAGUGGCGCAGUUUGUGACAGCCUGUGAGGUUUGCCAGAGGGUGAAACUAGAGCAUCAGAAACCAGCUGGAAUACUUAACCCACUGUCGAUUCCAGAGUGGAAAUGGGAGAACAUAGCUAUGGAUUUUGUAGUGGGUUUACCAGCAUCGUCCAACAGGAUAGACUCUAUAUGGGUGAUUGUGGACAGACUCACGAAAUCUGCUCAUUUUCUUCCAGUUCGGAGUAACUAUUCUGUGGAUAAGUUGGCACAGGUCUAUCUAGAUGAGAUAGUGAGAUUACAUUGAGUUCCAGUGUCUAUAGUCUCAGACAGAGGACCUCAGUUUACCUCCAGAUUUUUGCGAAGUCUGCAGAGUGCGAUGGGCAUGAGGUUGGAUUUUAGCACUGCUUUCCAUCCACAGACUGAUGGACAGUCAGAGAGGACCAUCCAGACCAUAGAGGAUAUGCUUCGAUUGUGUGUGUUAGACUUUGGCGGUUCUUGGAGGCAGCAUCUACCUUUGGUGGAGUUUGCCUACAAUAACAGCCAUCAUGCUAGCAUAGGGAUGGCUCAUUAUGAAGCUUUGUAUGGGAGGAAGUGCAGAUCCCCUGUUUGCUGGGAAGAAAUAGGAGAGAAGGCUCUUGCAGGGCCAGAGUUAGUAGAGAUUACCAGUAGAGUGGUGCCCAUAAUCAGAGAGAGAAUCAGAACAGCUCAGAGCAGACAGAAAAGUUAUGCAGACGUUCGCAGGAAGCAGUUAGAGUUUCAGGAGGGUAAUAUGGUAUUACUGAAGGUGUCUCCAAUGAAAGGAGUGGUUCAUUUUGGAAGAAAAGGUAAGUUAGCUCCACGAUACAUUGGACCCUUUGAGAUCUUGCAGAGGAUCGGGAAUGUGUCGUAUAAGCUGGAUUUACCUGCUUCUAUGGAGAGAAUUCACCCGGUAUUUCAUGUUUCUAUGCUACGGCAGUUUGUGUCAGAUCCGAGUCAGGUUCUGAGUGAGCCUGAUGUGGAGAUUCUGAGAGAUCUCACCUAAAUAGAGCAGCCAGUAUGGAUUCUAGACACGCAGAUCAGGCAGCUAAGGAACAAGAAAAUUCCAAUGGUGAAAGUUCUGUGGAACCACCAUAAUCUAGAAGAAUGCACCUGGGAGACGCGGGAGUCUAUGCUUCAGCAGUAUCCAUAUUUGUUUUGAGGUUAGUUUCCUCUUUUUUAUGUGUUAGUUAUUUGUUUUCGGAACAUUCGAGGACGAAUGUUCUUAAGGGGGGAGAAUGUAACACCCGGCUAGAGUCCGGCAUCGGAAUUCUACUUUCCGAUGGAGUUUCGGAUGCCGAAAGUCUCUAGAAGGGUUAGAUUUAUGUUUUUCUAAAAUGUUUUGGUAUGUUUCAUAGUUUUAAAGCAUAAGGAAAUGAGUUUUUGAGUGAAAUGAACCAAGGCAGAAAAGCCAGGUUCGGCCGCCGAAGUUGAGGUUCGGCCGCCGAACAUGCAUGGCUUUCGGUUUCACGUGUGGCCGCCGAAGGUGGUCUGGCCAGCCACCUAUGAAAGGCCCUCAGUCGGUUGAAACGAUAAGAUCACCGUUUCUUUGACUUGCUGAUGUGAGACCCUGUUCUUUUUAGAGUUUUCUUCAUGUUUUCAUUAAAUCAUGCAAAGAUUUGAUUGAUUUUUAUGUUUAUUUGAAGGUUUUGAGUUAGAAACUUGAAUUUUGAAGUUUGGAGAGUUUGAAGGAGAGUUGCUCCAAAACUCCACGUUAGGAUCGUUCAUCUUCUUGGUUUCAAGAGGUAAGUGAAGAUCCUGAGCUUGGUUUCAUGAUUUAUGAAAGAUUUUUGAGGUUUUGGGGGAGAGUUGCAUGAAUAGGGUUAAAGGAGAGUUUUUUAUCUUUUUGUGAGAAAAGUUUGUUUGUGUGUUAUGUGUUUGUGUUGUUGGGGUUUUUAGGCAGUUUCUGACCCCUUUGAGCAUAUACUUGGGUGUAUGCAAGUUGAGUGUUUGAGUUUGAGAGAGUUUUGUGCUUUUGGUGAGAGGCAGAGCAAGUUUCUGCCUUGCGGAUGAACUCAGGUUCGGCCGCCGAAGGUACAUUCAGCCGCCGAACCCAUGAGGAGGUGGCUUCGGCUGCCCAAGCUUGCCUCCGAGCUUUUGGACUUUCGGCUCUGGAGGGGAGUUCGGCCGCCGAAGGUUAGAGACUUUCGUCUCUGGAGUGCCUUUUCGCCUCCGAAACUUGCCCCCGAAAGGGUUCGGCUGCCGAAAGUAGAGCUUCGGCCGCCGAAGGUGCAUGAGUUUCGUCUCUCGAGAGGACUUUCGGCCGCCGAACCUGCCGCCGAAAGUGUUCUGUCCAGCCUUCUCUUGCAUGCUUUGCAUGGAUGUUUGAGUGAGUUUAAGGGAAUUCUUGGGGAGUUUAAUAGAGUUGUUCCCCUCAUUUGAGUUUAUCUGUGCCUACACAGAUCAGAGGAACCAGAGAGAGCAGCAGUGAGUACUGCUCCAGAGUCGAGCCUGCAGAGUCAGUCCAGAUAGCCAGAGGUGAGUGGAACUAAACUUAAUUCUUUUAAUUGAGAAAUGGAAUGUUUUUUAGCAUAUAUCAUGCAUCAUUGUUA